UGGCAAAAUGGUUAAGCACUUGGCUGCUAACCAAAAGUUUGGUGGUUCGAUCCCAUC
Molecule: transfer RNA, 57 nt
Filed under: Loxodonta africana (African savanna elephant)
Lineage: Eukaryota; Metazoa; Chordata; Mammalia; Proboscidea; Elephantidae
Rfam family: tRNA
About the family: Transfer RNA (tRNA) molecules are approximately 80 nucleotides in length. Their secondary structure includes four short double-helical elements and three loops (D, anti-codon, and T loops).
Source: Rfam by way of RNAcentral